UUUCCUUCUUGCUGCAUCAGGAUGAUGAGAAUUGAAGUCUGGUUUAACCCGUCCUUAACCUUCCCUGAGGCCCUGGAUGGGUAGUUCUGUAGCUCCCGGCCUCUUGCUGACCACUGGACCAAAAUACACAGAAGAAUCCUAUACAAGCCACUAUGGAAGGAGGGGUCAGGAUUACAGCAGAGGAGACUGGCACACAGAGUGUUAAGUGACACCCACUCAAUCCACCCCGAAGCUGUUACACUUAAUUAACCCUCAAACUGCCCAGUGAGUUUACAGGCUGGUAACCUACAUCUUUGUCUACGAGAAUCCCAUCUCCCUGCUCUGCGGCGCUAUCAUCAUCUGGCGCUUUGCUGGCAAUUUCGAGAGAACCGUGGGCACCGUCCGCCACUGCUUCUUCACCGUGAUCUUCGCCAUCUUCUCCGCUAUCAUCUUCCUGUCAUUCGAGGCUGUGUCAUCACUGUCAAAGCUGGGGGAAGUGGAGGAUGCCAGAGGUUUCACCCCAGUGGCCUUUGCCAUGCUGGGAGUCACCACCGUCCGUUCUCGGAUGAGGCGGGCCCUGGUGUUU
This 565-nucleotide small RNA is filed under the name Pan troglodytes (chimpanzee). Its description in RNAcentral is "processed transcript". Lineage: Eukaryota; Metazoa; Chordata; Mammalia; Primates; Hominidae. The record is from RNAcentral.